RNAcentral lists this ribosomal RNA (387 nucleotides) under uncultured bacterium. RNAcentral's name for it is "bacterial SSU rRNA". It matches the Rfam family "Bacterial small subunit ribosomal RNA", at positions 28 to 417 of the family's 1533-position model. The record is from RNAcentral.
GACGAACGCUGGCGGCGUGCUUAACACAUGCAAGUCGAGCGGUAAGGCCCUUCGGGUACGACGAGCGGCGAACGGGUGAGUAACACGUGGGUGACCUGCCUCUAGCUCUGGGAUAAGCCUGGGAAACUGGGUCUAAUACCGGAUAUGACUCCACGGCGCAUGUUGUGGGGUGGAAAGCCUUGUGCGGCUAGAGAUGGGCCCGCGGCCUAUCAGCUUGUUGGUGGGGUGAUGGCCUACCAAGGCGACGACGGGUAGCCGGCCUGAGAGGGCGACCGGCCACACUGGGACUGAGACACGGCCCAGACUCCUACGGGAGGCAGCAGUGGGGAAUCUUGCGCAAUGGGGCGAAAGCCUGACGCAGCGACGCCGCGUGAGGGAUGACGGCCU